GGAUCCAUCCGCCUGCUCCGUGCUGUGGUCUUCGUGGUUCGAGGGCCCUCCUAUUGGUGUUCAGUCCAGCUUCUUCUUACUCCUAUGGAUAGCCUCUGCAAAUAGGGAAAAAAACUCUGUCGUUUUGUUUUAUUUGUGCUAUAUGUGUGUCAAUCAUAUCUACAUUGUACUUAAGCCAGCCGUCUGCUUAUUUUGCGCACUUGGCUUCAUUUCAUUUUGUGACAGUUCCUAGUCCUGCUCUUAGUAUUAGUCUCUUAAGAGUAUGAUGUGUUCUUUGCCUGCGCUCAUGUUUUAUUCUAUUGUGUAUGCUCGGUUGCAAAGGCUUUGUUUUGUCAUUUCAUUGCUGUUGUGCGCAUUUUUUUUUCCUGCACUUGCCUUGUGGUUCGUAAAUUAUGUCAAUGUGCGUUGCUUUUCCUGUUAGUGUGUUCACAAUUUAAUUUAAUACAUGCCCUUUGUACUCAGGAUAUUGUUGUUGUGCAGUGACCUUUUUUGGGGGUUGUCAUUUGUGCUAUCCUGCCUUUAGGUUACUUUUGCAUUUGACCUCCAUUUUAGUUAUGGUCUUCAUUUGCUUAACUGCUUCAGUGUCAUUUCUUUUUUUCAGUGCAUUUAUUUCUCUGUGUGGGUUGCAUAGCUGUGUUGGCUUCUAUUUUCAAUGCCUUCUAGAAGGGCAACAAAUGCUCGGUCAGCUGCGUGCGCAUUAUCUUCUACAUCAGCCCAUUCUGCUUUGUCCGUCCGUCGUGUGCGUGGUAGUGCUCGGGGAAGCUGUCAUGGCCGUUAUGGUCAUCGUGUGCGCACUGGUCUUAUUGAAGGCCGACCAGCUGCAUUUUUAAGUGCAGGUCCGUUCUUAUUUAAGGAUCAUCUUGAUUCAGUGUGGCUCAUUUUGUGCUCGGUUGUUCCAUGUUCUUCACCCUGCUCGGUGCAGCCUCCUCGGCUGUUCCUUGUUGGGGCAUCAUCGUCAGAGACCAUUACUGUCCGCUGGGGCUACGUGUUGAUUCUAACAAGAAUCAUGUUAAAAG
This is a long non-coding RNA of Panicum hallii, 1016 nucleotides long. RefSeq lists it as uncharacterized. NCBI's taxonomy places the organism in Eukaryota, Viridiplantae, Streptophyta, Magnoliopsida, Poales, Poaceae. The record is from RefSeq and is a predicted model, not a curated record. The transcript has 4 exons.